This 503-nucleotide ribosomal RNA is filed under the name uncultured bacterium. RNAcentral's name for it is "partial 16S ribosomal RNA". It matches the Rfam family "Bacterial small subunit ribosomal RNA", at positions 30 to 523 of the family's 1533-position model. The record is from RNAcentral.
AUUGAACGCUGGCGGCAGGCUUAACACAUGCAAGUCGAGCGGGGUGAUGGUGCUUGCACUAUCACUUAGCGGCGGACGGGUGAGUAAUGCUUAGGAAUCUGCCUAUUAGUGGGGGACAACAUCUCGAAAGGGAUGCUAAUACCGCAUACGUCCUACGAGUGAAAGCAGGGGAUCACUUGUGACAUUGCGCUAAUAGAUGAGCCUAAGUCGGAUUAGCUAGUUGGUGGGGUAAAGGCCUACCAAGGCGACGAUCUGUAGCGGGUCUGAGAGGAUGAUCCGCCACACUGGGACUGAGACACGGCCCAGACUCCUACGGGAGGCAGCAGUGGGGAAUAUUGGACAAUGGGGGGAACCCUGAUCCAGCCAUGCCGCGUGUGUGAAGAAGGCCUUAUGGUUGUAAAGCACUUUAAGCAAGGAGGAGGCUCUUUUGGUUAAUACCCAAGAUGAGUGGACGUUACUCGCAGAAUAAGCACCGGCUAACUCUGUGCCAGCCGCCGCCGUAA